Medicago truncatula (barrel medic) is the source of this 1390-nucleotide long non-coding RNA. RefSeq lists it as uncharacterized. The record is from RefSeq and is a predicted model, not a curated record. Lineage: Eukaryota; Viridiplantae; Streptophyta; Magnoliopsida; Fabales; Fabaceae. The transcript has 2 exons.
UUGUGUGCCACAAUUAAUGAUAAAAAAUUUGGCAUAAUCCAUGUCAUACCAAAAAAAAAAAAUUGUUCAUUCUUUCUCUCUCUCAGCUCGUCUUUCUCUCACCUUUGUUCUAUUUUCUCUCGGCGAAGUUGUUUCCUCUGCCAUUCUCUUCGACACCAUCGUCGUUAUUGAUGGAUUUCCCAAAAGGUCGAUCUCCUCCCACAUCCUUGCCAUCGCCUCCGAUUUCUCCGUGAUUAGGAAUCCCUAGCUUGUUCCUCUCGUUUUCUCCCUCUUCAUCUUCAAUGCAUGUAUAUUCAUCCAUGUUCUUUUUGUUCGAUUCACUCGUUCCAUCUUGUAAUUUUUGUUUGUUCCUUUUUUGGUGUGAUUCAAUUCUCAUGUUUCUCAUAUCAAUUUAAUUUGAAUUAAAUUUAAACAUUUUUGUGAAAAUUGUAAAUCUCAAUUUGGUUAAUUCAUAAUACUGAUAUGGAAUAAACUUAUUUUUUAGAACUAUAUAUGCAAUUUAGCUAAAAUAUUGAGAAUUGAUGUGAAAUAUAUAUAUUUUACUUCAGUGUCUAUCUUGUAGCUGAUGUGAAAACCCCAUUAUUAAAUUUUAAAGUGUGUCUAUUACAAUAGUGGAAGAGAAACCUGAUGUAGAAAACAAGAUUUCACAUCUGUCCAAACCUGAUGUAAAAGGAUGUGGACUUACCACAUCAUAUCACCUUACAUCAGUUGCCACCUGAUUUAAAAACUCAUUUCCAACUGAUGUAAAAACUCUGUUAUGCAGUAGUGAGUUAAUGGUGGGUGGAAUUUGAUGUCAGUGUUUGGUUGAGUUUGAUGGAUAAAGUCUACGUACGGAGAUUGGGAUUUUUGUGUAUGGCAACCUCAUCAUCACCCUCUUGUAGAGACAAACUUUCAUAGGUUAGCUGAAAAACUUCAUCAAAUUUAUUAUAUGAUGAACGGGAGGAAUGGAAAAAACACAAGGGCAAUUAUCGUACAUCAUGGAAAAGGCUCAUACUGUGUUGAAUUAUGAAACUGCAUUGCAGCAUGCGAAGGGAACGAGAAGAAAACACAUUAAUCAAGGAAAUCACAGUCGAAAAACAUAGCCACUGGUCGCAGCAGACGCCAACUCGGCAUCAACUUGUUCAUUGCAAACCUGCACUUCCAUAUUGCUUGUUUGACAUCCACCUAUCACUGAUGUAGUGGUUUCUCGUGUGUUGACUGACGAACAGAAACUUCUACACAAUAAAGCCUCUUUCAGGAUUCUGAAGCUCAUGUAAUGUAAUGAUAGAUGAAAAUCCCCAGGCCUCCUCAUUUGCAUUGAACUUGUGAUUAGAUUCUGGCAAAGGAUAAUGAAAAGACCAUUGUAUUGGUGAUGUUGAUCACAAAGAUAAGUGCCACCAUUAUAUUGCAA